Molecule: long non-coding RNA, 690 nt
Filed under: Gossypium barbadense (sea-island cotton)
Lineage: Eukaryota; Viridiplantae; Streptophyta; Magnoliopsida; Malvales; Malvaceae
Description: long non-coding RNA (GBAR_LNC017283)
Source: RNAcentral
ACAGAGUUUUUGGUCACACCAUGGCCUAAAACCUAUGCUUCGACGCGACGACUAUCACUUGACGUCAUGACGUGGACUCUGUUUUUGGCACAACUUAGGCCAUUUGGUAUCUAUUUCAUGUGAACCUUUCAACUUAACCAAAUGGUGCAUUUUGCACAACAUUUACCUACACAAGACCAUUCCAAUAACAUUUCCAAACAUCAUUUUAAAACCAAUUCAUAGCAAUCAAUUCGUUAUGCCACAUUUGACACCCAAACGUACCAAUUCAACCUAAUCUAUCUCUGUAACACCCCUAUACUUGAUUCGACCUUCGGGACCCAGUAUAGAACUAUUACAUUUGUUUCCAAAGCGCUCUUGGCUAAACAAAAGGUAAUUUGAACAUUUUAUGACUAAAUUUUAACAUUUACGACUUAUUAAUAUAAUUACGGAUGUUUUGAAACUUUGUCGGUUAACCGAGUUCAUUUGGAAGUAAAUAGAAUAAAAUUUUCAUUUAAAACAUGAGGCAAGUAUCAGUAGCAAAACCUAAGGUAUUGAUACAUAUAACAAGGUAUUUGUUCCCUUGACAAGUAUCGAUACCAAAAUCGGAUUCUAUAACUCAAAUUUUUUAAAAAUUUCAUGCAGGUACCAAAACCUAAGGUAACGAUACUUAUAACAUGCAUUAUGCGCUGAAUCUCCCACUUGUUAAAACAG